CGACCGGCGCACGGGUGAGUAACACGUAUCCAACCUGCCCUUUACUCGGGGAUAGCCUUUCGAAAGAAAGAUUAAUACAAGAUGGCAUCAUGAGUCCGCAUGUUCACAUGAUUAAAGGUAUUCCGGUAGACGAUGGGGAUGCGUUCCAUUAGAUAGUAGGCGGGGUAACGGCCCACCUAGUCUUCGAUGGAUAGGGGUUCUGAGAGGAAGGUCCCCACAUUGGAACUGAGACACGGUCCAA
Molecule: ribosomal RNA, 241 nt
Filed under: uncultured bacterium
Lineage: Bacteria
Description: partial 16S ribosomal RNA
Rfam family: Bacterial small subunit ribosomal RNA
Source: RNAcentral